This 461-nucleotide ribosomal RNA is filed under the name uncultured bacterium. RNAcentral describes it as "bacterial SSU rRNA". It matches the Rfam family "Bacterial small subunit ribosomal RNA", at positions 28 to 506 of the family's 1533-position model. The record is from RNAcentral.
GACGAACGCUGGCGGCGUGCUUAACACAUGCAAGUCGAACGGUAAGGCCUUUCGGGGUACACGAGUGGCGAACGGGUGAGUAACACGUGGGUGAUCUGCCCUGCACUUUGGGAUAAGCCUGGGAAACUGGGUCUAAUACCGAAUAGGACCAUGGACUUCACGGUUUGUGGUGGAAAGCUUUUGCGGUGUGGGAUGGGCCCGCGGCCUAUCAGCUUGUUGGUGGGGUAAUGGCCUACCAAGGCGACGACGGGUAGCCGGCCUGAGAGGGUGACCGGCCACACUGGGACUGAGAUACGGCCCAGACUCCUACGGGAGGCAGCAGUGGGAAUAUUGCACAAUGGGCGCAAGCCUGAUGCAGCGACGCCGCGUGAGGGAUGACGGCCUUCGGGUUGGUAAACCUCUUUCAGCACAGACGAAGCGCAAGUGACGGUAUGUGCAGAGAAGGACCGGCCAACGUACGU